AUGAACGCUAGCGACAGGCCUAACACAUGCAAGUCAGGGGCAGCACAAGGAGCAAUCUGAGGUGGCGACCGGCGCACGGGUGAGUAACACGUAUGCAACCUGCCUGUAAGCGGGGAAUAACCCGUUGAAAGACGGACUAAUACCGCAUAAUACUAAAUUACUGCAUGGUAAUUUAUUUAAACAUUUAUGGCUUACAGAUGGGCAUGCGCAUGAUUAGCUAGUUGGAGAGGUAACGGCUCCCCAAGGCAACGAUCAUUAGGGGUUCUGAGAGGAAGGUCCCCCACACUGGUACUGAGACACGGACCAGACUCCUACGGGAGGCAGCAGUGAGGAAUAUUGGUCAAUGGACGAGAGUCUGAACCAGUCAAGUCGCGUGCAGGAAGAAUGUCCCUAUGGAUUGUAAACUGCUUUUGCAGGGGAAUAAAGUGCAUCACGUGUGAUGUUUUGUAUGUACUCUGCGAAUAAGGAUCGGCUAACUCCGUGCCAGCCGCAGC
This 494-nucleotide ribosomal RNA is filed under the name uncultured bacterium. Its description in RNAcentral is "bacterial SSU rRNA". It matches the Rfam family "Bacterial small subunit ribosomal RNA", at positions 29 to 518 of the family's 1533-position model. The record is from RNAcentral.